Molecule: ribosomal RNA, 468 nt
Filed under: uncultured bacterium
Lineage: Bacteria
Description: partial 16S ribosomal RNA
Rfam family: Bacterial small subunit ribosomal RNA
Source: RNAcentral
GACGAACGCUGGCGGCGUGCUUAACACAUGCAAGUCGAACGGAAAGACCCUGCUUUUGUGGGGUGCUCGAGUGGCGAACGGGUGAGUAACACGUGAGUAACCUGCCCUUGACUUUGGGAUAACUUCAGGAAACUGGGGCUAAUACCGGAUAGGAGCUCCUGCUGCAUGGUGGGGGUUGGAAAGUUUCGGCGGUUGGGGAUGGACUCGCGGCUUAUCAGCUUGUUGGUGGGGUAGUGGCUUACCAAGGCUUUGACGGGUAGCCGGCCUGAGAGGGUGACCGGCCACAUUGGGACUGAGAUACGGCCCAGACUCCUACGGGAGGCAGCAGUGGGGAAUAUUGCACAAUGGGCGGAAGCCUGAUGCAGCAACGCCGCGUGCGGGAUGACGGCCUUCGGGUUGUAAACCGCUUUCGCCUGUGACGAAGCGUGAGUGACGGUAAUGGAUAAAGAAGCACCGGCUAACUACGUG